RNAcentral lists this ribosomal RNA (18 nucleotides) under Eimeria canadensis. Its description in RNAcentral is "partial 18S rRNA". Lineage: Eukaryota; Apicomplexa; Conoidasida; Eucoccidiorida; Eimeriidae. RNAcentral also lists the same sequence under 1 other name. The record is from RNAcentral.
ACCUGCGGAGGAUCAUUC